AUUCUCCCUAAAAUCUACUCUUCCCACGCACGGGUUCGUGCGGGAACGUGAAUGGUAAUUUUCAAAAACUCGCGCUCGAUUUCGAACAGCACUCGUACCGAUCUAAAGAUACAUUUUCUCGGUACGACAAUGCGUGGCUGGCUUGCCAAUUACCGUAUAGACGAGAGUGCACGGUUGUCCUUUCCACGAAGACGUCGCGUCUCGUCGCGUCAUGAUUCUCGUAGAAGAGACCUGAUUAUCGAGGAAGAGCGGUCGGUGUCGCGCGAUUUUGUCUGAUCGCCAAAUCCAGCGAGUAAGUAGGUAUCACGGUCUUUCGCAACGAAGCAACACGUUUUUGGUCGGUGAUGCAAUUUCAUUGCUAAUUACGUCACUUUUCAUGUAUAUGUAUUUUUGAAAAUAUCUGGACGAGUAGAGACCGGUGGUUCAGACGGUUCACGAAUGUUUUACGAUCGAUUUUAUUGAACGGCGUAGAUCGACGAACGAGAGACCUUUGUAAAGUUCAAAAUCGUCAAUAAAUGGCCGACCAUAAUUCGACGAAGAGGAAGAGGAACUGCUUAAAAUGUAAAGCUUAGAAGGUGGUUGGCUGGCUGGCUGGCUGGCUGGUUGCCUCCGGGAUCUUGGAGCAGCGUAUUUUCAAGCAAACAUUGCGACAGAGUGGAGCCAUUCGACUUUACAAACUUUGCAUUUACAUAAAACCAAAGCAAAGCUGGUCGACUGUAUUAAGUUCAAGAUCACGAGGAAUCCUCGAAGCACCGAAUCCCUACGCGCUGCGUCACGAUCAAGAAUAUCGUUAACAUCUCUUCCACGAGUGUCCUUAGAGUUAAACGAUAUUCAAAUUCAAAACAGACCGCGGCGGCCGUUAUGGCUAUACAUAUAUACAAACGAGCACGUUUCUUUGAACUCUCCUGUAACCUUCCUUCAUGAUGGGUAGUUUUUACCGAUCGAAGAAUCAUCGGCUAUUGGUCAACAAUUUUAAAUCUCAAGUCUCUAGUCAAAAUGAGUCGAAGCGCGUCGACAUUAUUUAUCGUCUAAGUUUCAAGGUACGUGCAAAAUUUACGAAUUGGAAACAAAUACUUUUCAAUUUCUUUUCUUUUUUUUUUUUUACUGCUAUAACGUAUCUGUACAGAAUAUAUGAAGAAAGAGAUGAGUAGCGAAUACAACCAUCUUAGUUUUCAUGUUUAGAAAAUUUGAUUAAGCGACGAUGGCUCAUAUAAAAUUUAGUAAUAAAUUCAAUGAAAUUUGGUCGAUCGAACGAAGGUCGAGCCUCUCGUUAGAAUAAGAGCUACUUCAGUAGCAUCGAACAAAAGUGAGAUAUAAAAACGUGUCGACAGUCACGCGCAUCAUAAAAGAACUUUUUCAAUCUGGCAUUUAUUACACGAUAACACUCGAUUACAUAACUUUCUCAUUGUUAAUUGAAAGAGGUUGUAAAUAGUUGGUGAAACGAGCGAAACAGCUACUUUUGCUUUAGCAGAGUUCUGGCAACUGACCCGUUCUAUGCAACGACGAGGAAAUUACAGUACACUUGAAUCGCUGGUAGGCAAUAAAACGGAAGUUUAUCUCAAAGGAAAACGUUUAACCACAAUGCUUAAAAUUCAUUCUAUUACUAUCGCGUGCUGCCUCAUGUUUUUUUUUUUGCAUCUACGAACGUAUAAUUGCAUUCAAUAACAUCGCGCAAGGUGUUAAUAAGAAAAUUGUUUUAGGCAUUCAGCAGAAUAAUCAUAUAUUGCAAGUACGCUAUUUUUUAGGCAGCCUAUGUAUCUAUAAACUGGAAAAUGACCGAUCAAUGAAUAUUUUUACAAAGUGCUCACUGUCGAUGCAACGUUUAUUUCUAAAUGUACGAGGCAUCAAAUAUUGAUCGCUAGUGACAUCUAAACUCUUGUACGUUGUUUAGACAGAACGGUUUGGAUACGCGACUGUGAAUUUCGGAGCAGUCUAUUUCCCUCCCUCACACACACACGAUUGUUCACACGAACGAACGAACGAACAGAAGGCACGAUAUACACCGAUGAAACCACCUGUACAAAUCGGCGAACGUGGAGCGGUAUCUCGUUGCGGUAGUGGGCAGUGAAUGGCUGUCGCACGCGGAGCAAUUGCUCGCUCGAAGAAGAAUUCAAGAGGAGUUCUCGCGUUUUCCACAUGGCACACGACCUAAUUCGUCCAUCUUACGUAAGCGACAACAUUGGAUCAUUCAUGCUCAGCUGAUCGCAAUACGCGCGCGCUGCUGCAAUUAAUGCGCGAGUACACCGGUACUUUUCUAUCUGUAGAAAUACGCACAAAGGGGUUUCUAAAUAUAAUUUCCACGGGUUAACGGUCGAUCCGUUUUAAGAUUUAAUCAAGUCGGACGAUGUUUUACGACGGUGGUUUAUGAACGGUACGAAAAUUAUCCAACCGCUUCCGUCAGUGUCACUGCGUCAGAUGGUACAGUAGCUCGUAAAAGAAGCGGAUUUCACGGCGCAACAUUUGAGACAAAGUACCGUAUUCGGUUCGAUUUUAUCGAUCGACCGAUAACAGAGGACCCGAUACACAAAGAAUUUAGCCUUGGCCUACUGUUUCACCGAGUUCGGGACACGAACCAACGAAUCACUGUCGCAAAAGUCGAGCGUGAGUGUUGAUAGUCCGUUGCACAACGAUAGAAACGUGCCCACGAUGUUCUUUCCCGGCUGGCGGCUUUAAUGGAGCGAUUCGUACCGUUUGUGAAUCGUGAUUAACACGAUUCGGUAUGCUCGACAUUGUGUCCUGUUUUUCAGCCAGCUGAUGGAUCGCGCCUCGAGGCCACUUGACCUACAUUAUUUUUCGCAACGAGGCCCACCUUUUUGUCAUAUCGUUUCUACACUUCCCUGGAGAUUUGCUGCAAUCAUUUAAACGAGAGCACGCGAGAAGCGAGAAACGAGAAGACAAGAAGAAGUUACGCAAUGCUUCUCUAAGCUGAAAGAAGAACUGAAAUCUUAUAUUGGGUCAGUGGAAAUUUGUCCAAAGAAAAAGAAGUUCGAAAAAUAAUUCUGUAGGGAGUUAACUGUACAGAAUUGUGUAGCGAGUUCCCUCUGUUUCGUCGCAACGCAACGUAAUCAUACGUUGGAAAAUAAAGAUUCGAUUGGAUGAUUCUCCUUUGACCGUCUCGAUUACAUGGAAGUCGUCCGCGCAGGGGUAGGGAGUGGAAUUUCUCAUCGAGCGGGCUACCGAAGUCCAUGCCGCGGGAGAAAGUUUCGGCAUCGACGGGAAUUACGCACCGUUGAAAUAAUCGUUCGUCCGUGCAAAUACUUAGUCGUCCCUCGUCUAACGAACUUUGUUCAAGUGCAAUUACAAUCGUGAGACGUGAUUGAACGUCUAGAUAUUCAUCGUCGAA
Molecule: long non-coding RNA, 3343 nt
Organism: Bombus huntii
Lineage: Eukaryota; Metazoa; Arthropoda; Insecta; Hymenoptera; Apidae
Exons: 2
Source: RefSeq, a predicted model, not a curated record